AUACGUAGGGUGCGAGCGUUGUCCGGAAUUACUGGGCGUAAAGAGCUCGUAGGUGGUUUGUCGCGUCGUCUGUGAAAUUCCGGGGCUUAACUCCGGUCGUGCAGGCGAUACGGGCAUAACUUGAGUACUGUAGGGGAGACUGGAAUUCCUGGUGGAGCGGUGAAAUGCGCAGAUAUCAGGAGGAACACCGGUGGCGAAGGCGGGUCUCUGGGCAGUAACUGACGCUGAGGAGCGAAAGCAUGGGUAGCGAACAGGAUUAGAUACCCUGGUAGUCCAUGCCGUAAACGGUGGGCGCUAGGUGUAGGGGUCUUCCACGACUUCUGUGCCGUAGCUAACGCAUUAAGCGCCCCGCCUGGGGAGUACGGCCGCAAGGCUAAAACUCAAAUGAAUUGACGGGG
RNAcentral lists this ribosomal RNA (398 nucleotides) under uncultured bacterium. RNAcentral's name for it is "partial 16S ribosomal RNA". It matches the Rfam family "Bacterial small subunit ribosomal RNA", at positions 523 to 918 of the family's 1533-position model. The record is from RNAcentral.